ACGCUGGCGGCGUGCCUAAUACAUGCAAGUCGAGCGAAGUUUUUCUGGUGCUUGCACUAGAAAAACUUAGCGGCGAACGGGUGAGUAACACGUAAAGAACCUGCCUCAUAGACUGGGACAACUAUUGGAAACGAUAGCUAAUACCGGAUAACAGCAUUAACUGCAUGGUUGAUGUUUGAAAGUUGGUUUUGCUAACACUAUGAGAUGGCUUUGCGGUGCAUUAGCUAGUUGGUGGGGUAAAGGCCUACCAAGGCGACGAUGCAUAGCCGACCUGAGAGGGUGAUCGGCCACACUGGGACUGAGACACGGCCCAGACUCCUACGGGAGGCAGCAGUAGGGAAUCUUCCGCAAUGGGCGAAAGCCUGACGGAGCAACGCCGCGUGAGUGAAGAAGGAUUUCGGUUCGUAAAGCUCUGUUGUUAGGGAAGAAUGAUUGUGUAGUAACUAUACACAGUAGAGACGGUACCUAACCAGAAAGCCACGGCUAACUACGUGCCGGCAGCCGCGGUAAUACGUAGGUGGCAAGCGUUGUCCGGAAUUAUUGGGCGUAAAGCGCGCGCAGGUGGUUUAAUAAGUCUGAUGUGAAAGCCCACGGCUCAACCGUGGAGGGUCAUUGGAAACUGUUAAACUUGAGUGCAGGAGAGAAAAGUGGAAUUCCUAGUGUAGCGGUGAAAUGCGUAGAGAUUAGGAGGAACACCAGUGGCGAAGGCGGCUUUUUGGCCUGUAACUGACACUGAGGCGCGAAAGCGUGGGGAGCAAACAGGAUUAGAUACCCUGGUAGUCCACGCCGUAAACGAUGAGUGCUAAGUGUUGGUCUCAUAAGAGAUCAGUGCUGCAGCUAACGCAUUAAGCACUCCGCCUGGGGAGUACGACCGCAAGGUUGAAACUCAAAGGAAUUGACGGGGACCCGC
This 910-nucleotide ribosomal RNA is filed under the name uncultured bacterium. RNAcentral's name for it is "bacterial SSU rRNA". It matches the Rfam family "Bacterial small subunit ribosomal RNA", at positions 33 to 924 of the family's 1533-position model. The record is from RNAcentral.